Myotis daubentonii (Daubenton's bat) is the source of this 3533-nucleotide long non-coding RNA. RefSeq lists it as uncharacterized. NCBI's taxonomy places the organism in Eukaryota, Metazoa, Chordata, Mammalia, Chiroptera, Vespertilionidae. The record is from RefSeq and is a predicted model, not a curated record.
CAUACACCUAGGUUGUGGGUUCAAUCCCUGGUUGGGGCACAUAUGGGAGGCAACCGAUUAAUAUUUCUCUCUCAUAUUGAUGUCUUUCUCCACCUCCCCACCCCCACUUUCCUCUCUUUAAGCAUGUCCUUAGGUGAGGAUUUUUUGUAAAAAGGCAGGCCCGGCCAGUGUAGCUCAGUGGUUGAUUGUCAACCCAGGAACCAACAAUAGGUUGCAGGCUUGAUCCCCAGGAGCGGGAUGUGCAAGAGGCAGACAAUCAAUGAUGUUCCUCUCUCAUUGAUGUUUCUAUCUCUCUAUCCCAUUCCCUUCCUCUCUCUCUAAAAAUCAAUAAAAACAUAUUUUUUUAAAAGGCAAAUUUUAUGUUAUGUUUACUUCCCCAUUUUGCUGGACUAUAUCUCCCAAUAGCUUCCUAAGAAAAGAUGCAUGGGAAAUAGGUUGUGUGAGUCCUGGUAUAUCUAUAAAUGUAUUAUUCUCCCCUUAGACUUGACUCUUAAUUUGGCCAAGAAUAGAAUUCUAGUUUAAAUCUUUUUUUUCCUGAGAAUUUUGACAGUCUUGCUCCAUUUUCUAGCUUCCAGUUUUGCUGUGAAGAUCAGUGCAUAUUUACUUAAAUUUUUUUGUAUAUGACUUUCUCCCCCAUUUCUGGAAGCUUCUAGGACCUUAUAUGUGUCUCUGGUGUUCUGAAAUUUUAAAAUGAUGUCCUCAGUGUGGUCUUGGUUCAUUCAUUAUGUACUAGGUGUUCUCCUAAAACUAGAAAUCUGUGUUACAGAUUACAAAAAAAGUUACAUUAUUAAGCCUAUAAAGUAGACAGGGUAAAACACAGCAUUUAAAGAUAUGAAAUUAAGUAAUAAAAACAUAAAUAAAGGUAUAAGGUCUAUACUAAUAAAAACAAUAUAAUCAUUAAAUUUGAAGAGGAUAGGAGGCAGAAGAGAGAAAAGGAAAAUAAAAUAAAAUUAAGUAUUCAUAGUGGAAAGUCAACAAACACUGACAGAAGAAAAAGAUUUAGUGUAUAAAAAUCAUAAUUAAAAUAAUCACCAGAACAAAAAUACAAGCUUCUAAAAAAGAAACCUAGUUCCUAGAUACAAAGCAAACACAGACUAAGUGUUUAAAAGAAACCAGAAAGACAACCCAAGACACUAGGAAUGCUCCUAAAAAAGAAAACUGAUUGGCUGGGGGACAGAUGAGAGAGAGACCACCUUUUCACACUAUGUUCUUAUGUCCCCUUUAAACUGUUUACUAUAUAUAUAUGUAUUCCCCAUUUUAAAAAAUUAAUAAAUCUAUAAUUUUAUACUAGGGAAAUUAAGUCAAGAUUUGUAUUUUAAAUAUAUUUUUAUGGAUUUCAAAGAGGAAGGGAGAGGGAGAGAGAGAGAGAGAAACAUCAAUGAUGAGAGAGAAUCAUUGAUCAAUGCCUCCUGCAUGCCCCCUACUAGGGACUGAGCCCAAAACUGGGCAUGUGCCCUGACCAGGUAUUGGCACUGUGACCUCCUGGUUCAUAGUCUAAUACUCAACAACUGAGCCACACCAGCCAGUCUCAAGAUCUGUAUUGUAAAUGUUGAGAUUCUCCAGCACAGCUCCUCUCAUCAUUUAAAAAAAUAUAUCUUUAUUGAUUUCAGAGAAGAAGGGAGAGGGAGAGAUAGAAACAUCAAUGAUGAGAGAGAAUCAAUGAUCAGCUGCCUCCUGCACACCCUCAACUAGGGAUCGAGCCCGCAACCCAGGCAUGUGCCCUUGACCGGAAUCGAACCCGAGACCCUUCAGUCGGCAGGCUGACGCUCUAUGCACUGAGCCAAACUGGCCAGAGCUCAUCAUUUUUUAAAACUGAUUUUUAGAGAGAGGGGAAGGGAGAGGGAGAGAGAGGGAGAAAGAGGGAGGGAGGGGGAGGGGGGGAGAGAGAGAGAGAGAGAGAGAGAGAGAGAAAUCAAUGUGAGAGCAAAACAUCAAUUGGUUGCCUCCUGUAUGCUCCCUGGGACCCGCAACCAAGGCAUGUGCCCUGACUGGGAAUCAAACUAGCAACCUUUUGGUGUACAUAAAUGAAAACAUAAAUUUAAAAAAUUAAUUACAAAGAUUUGGAAAAUAAAGUUAAGGAAAUCUCCUAAGAAAGUACGACAAAAUGACAAAAUGUACAAAUAGAAAAAAACCUAGAAGACCAAUCCAGGAAAGGAUAGGAGUUACAAGAGAGCAUGGAGAAAUAAUAGAAGAAAAUACCUCAGAUAUCAAGGACACAGAUUUCUAGUUUCAGGAGAACACCUAGUACAUAAUGAAUGAACCAAGACCACACUGAGGACAUCAUUUUAAAAUUUCAGAACACCAGAGACACAUACAAAAUCCUAGAAGCUUUUAGAAGGGGGUGGGGGGAGUCUAUAUACAAAAAAAUGUAAGUAACUAUGCACUGAUCUUCACAGCAAACCUGGAAGCUAGAAAAUAGAGCAAGACUGUCAAAAUUCUCAGGGAAAAAAAGAUUUAAACUAGAAUUCUAUUCUCGGCCAAAUUAAGAGUCAAGUCUAAGGGGAGAAUAAUACAUUUAUAGAUAUACCAGGACUCACACAACCUAUUUCCCAUGCAUCUUUUCUUAGGAAGCUAUUGGGAGAUAUAGUCCAGCAAAAUGGGGAAGUAAAAAGGAGACAGACUGAAGUUCCAGUAAAUAAGGGAUGAUGUAACACAGCAGAGUAUUAAAAGGAAGUUGAAAAGGACAUCUGUGGCCCUAGCCAGUUAGGAUAGAGCAUUGCCCUGAGGACUGAAGGGUCCCGGAUUCGAUUCUGGUCAAGGGCACAUGCUGGAGUUGUGGGCUCGAUCCCCAGUAGUGGUUGUGCAGACAGCAGCUGAUCAAUGAUUCUCUCUCAUCAUUGAUGUUUCUCUCUCUCUCCCUCUCUCUUCUUCUCUGAAAUCAAUAAAAAUACAUUAAAAAGAAAAAAAGCACAUCUGUGGCCCUGGCUGACGUGGCUCAGCAGCUAGGGCAUUGGCCCUGCACGGAAGGGUCUCGGGUUUGAUUCCCAGUCAGGGGCAUGUGCCUGGGUCCCUGCCCCCUCCACUCUAAAAAUCAAUGGAAAAAACAUCCUUGGGUGAGGAUUAACAACAACAAAAAUGACAUCUGUGCAGAAGGCCUAGAGAGCAAUUGUCCUGAUUAUAGCAGUAAAUUGUGGGGGAUUCGGAAGUUGAUAUUUUUGGAAGGGAAACAUUACAGAAAACAACAGAAUUGAUAAAUUAUUUGAGCACUGAGUGUUUUUUUAAAAAAAAUAUAUUUUAUUAACUUUUUACAGAGAGAAAGGGAAAGGGAUAGAGUUAGAAACAUUGAUGAGAGAGAAACAUCAAUCAGCUGCCUCCUACACACCCCCUACUGGGGAUGUGCCCACAACCAAGGUAUAUGCCCAUGACUGGAAUCGAACCUGGGACCCCUCAGUCCGCAGGCUGACGCUCUAUCCACUGAGCCAAACCGGUCAGGGCAUGAGUUUUUUUCUGAUGAAAAAGUUGAACAGGUCAGGUACACAGGUAAAAUAAGUAAAUAAAAAAUAAAGCAAUUAUUAACCCAAGGCAACAAAAAA